AUACGGAGGAUCCAAGCGUUAUCCGGAUUUAUUGGGUUUAAAGGGUGCGCAGGCGGAAGAUUAAGUCGGCGGUGAAAUUUUGCAGCUCAACUGUAAAAGUGCCAUCGAUACUGGUUUUCUUGAGUGUGGAUGAAGUAGGCGGAAUUUGGGGUGUAGCGGUGAAAUGCAUAUAUAUCAGGAGGAACUCCGAUUGCGCAGGCGGCUUGCUAGGCCAUAACUGACGCUCAGGCACGAAGGCGUGGGGAUCAAACAGGAUUAGAUACCCUGGUAGUCCACGCAGUAAACGAUGAUUACUCGCUGUUUGCGAUACACAGUAAGCGGCUUAGCGAAAGCGUUAAGUAAUCCGCCUGGGGAGUACGUUCGCAAGAAUGAAACUCAAAGGAAUUGACGGGG
RNAcentral lists this ribosomal RNA (393 nucleotides) under uncultured bacterium. Its description in RNAcentral is "partial 16S ribosomal RNA". It matches the Rfam family "Bacterial small subunit ribosomal RNA", at positions 523 to 918 of the family's 1533-position model. The record is from RNAcentral.